CCACACCAUAUUUGGCCUUAAGGCCACCACAUUUCUGGCAAAUAUGGUAACAAACACCAUUUCCCAUAUUUGCCAGAAAUGUGGUGGCCUCAAGGCCAAAUAUGGUGUGGA
This 111-nucleotide microRNA precursor is filed under the name Belgica antarctica. RNAcentral's name for it is "microRNA MIR158". The record is from RNAcentral. Lineage: Eukaryota; Metazoa; Arthropoda; Insecta; Diptera; Chironomidae.